RNAcentral lists this ribosomal RNA (468 nucleotides) under uncultured bacterium. RNAcentral's name for it is "partial 16S ribosomal RNA". It matches the Rfam family "Bacterial small subunit ribosomal RNA", at positions 28 to 507 of the family's 1533-position model. The record is from RNAcentral.
GACGAACGCUGGCGGCGUGCUUAACACAUGCAAGUCGAACGGAAAGGCCCUGCAUUUGUGGGGUGCUCGAGUGGCGAACGGGUGAGUAACACGUGAGUAACCUGCCCUUUACUUUGGGAUAACUUCAGGAAACUGGGGCUAAUAUCGGAUAUGAGCUCCUUCUGCAUGGGGGGUGUUGGAAAGUGUUGGCGGUUGGGGAUGGACUGGCGGGUUAUCACCUUGUUGGUGGGGUAGUGGCUUACCAAGGCUUCGACGGGUAGCCAGCCUGAGAGGGUGACCGGGCACAUUGGGACUGGGAUAGGAGCCAGACUCAAACGGGGGGCAGCGGCGGGAAACAUUGCACAAUGGGCGGAAGCCUGAUGCAGCAACGUCGCGUGCGGGAUGACGGCCUUCGGGUUGUAAACCGCGUUCGCCUGUGACGCAGCGUGAGUGACGGUAAUGGGUAAAGAAGCACCGGCUAACUACGUG